GACGAACGCUGGCGGCGUGCUUAACACAUGCAAGUCGAACGGUAAGGCCCUUCGGGGUACACGAGUGGCGAACGGGUGAGUAACACGUGGGUGAUCUGCCCGACACUUCGGGAUAAGCCGGGGAAACUGGGGCUAAUACCGGAUAGGACCACUGCCUGCAUGGGGGGUGUGGGAAAGCUUUUGCGGGGUGGGAUGGGCCCGCGGCCUAUCAGCGUGUUGGUGGGGUGCUGGCCGACCAAGGAGACGACGGGUAGCCGGCCUGAGAGGGUGACCGGGCACACUGGGAAUGAGAUACGGCCCAGACUCCUACGGGAGGCAGCAGUGGGGAAUAUUGCACAAUGGGCGCAAGCCUGAUGCAGCGACGCCGCGUGAGGGAUGACGGCCUUCGGGUUGUAAACCUCUUUCAGCACCGACGAAGCGCAAGUGACGGUAGGUGCAGAAGAAGGACCGGCCAACUACGUGCCAGCAGCCGCCGUAA
Molecule: ribosomal RNA, 478 nt
Filed under: uncultured bacterium
Lineage: Bacteria
Description: partial 16S ribosomal RNA
Rfam family: Bacterial small subunit ribosomal RNA
Source: RNAcentral